This 377-nucleotide ribosomal RNA is filed under the name uncultured bacterium. RNAcentral describes it as "bacterial SSU rRNA". It matches the Rfam family "Bacterial small subunit ribosomal RNA", at positions 521 to 896 of the family's 1533-position model. The record is from RNAcentral.
UAAUACAGAGGGUGCAAGCGUUGCUCGGAAUCAUUGGGCGUAAAGGGCAAGUAGGUGGUCUCGUUUGUCUGAGGUGAAAUCCCUGGGCUUAACCUAGGAACUGCCUCAGAAACGGCGAGACUUGAGUGCUGGAGAGGGUCGCGGAAUUCCCGGUGUAGCGGUGAAAUGCGUAGAGAUCGGGAGGAAUACCAGAGGCGAAAGCGGCGGCCUGGACAGUUACUGACACUCAACUGCGAAAGCGUGGGGAGCAAACAGGAUUAGAUACCCUGGUAGUCCACGCUGUAAACGAUGGGUACUAGGCCAAGCGGGUAUUGACCCCUGCUGGGCCGGAGCUAACGCGAUAAGUACCCCGCCUGGGAAGUACGGUCGCAAGACUA